Long non-coding RNA from Cucumis melo (muskmelon), 194 nucleotides. RefSeq lists it as uncharacterized. NCBI's taxonomy places the organism in Eukaryota, Viridiplantae, Streptophyta, Magnoliopsida, Cucurbitales, Cucurbitaceae. The transcript is spliced from 3 exons. The record is from RefSeq and is a predicted model, not a curated record.
UCGCUAAGGACGACAUCAAAAGCAACUACAAGAUAUGUAACCGACACUGUCCACUACAAGUCGGGAGCACUGCGUGUGGAUACUAUGUCAUGAAGUAUAUGAGAGAAAUUGUAAAUAGGGGAAGCAUUGUCAUCUCAGAUUCGAAAACUUUAUUUUUUGUGGCUGAUUUUUUGAAAUGUUCAUAUGGAGGGGGA